UGGUGGAGCGAUUUGUCUGGUUUAUUCCGAUAACGAACGAGACUCUGACCUACUAAUAGUGGGCGGAUUCUUCCUGUCCGCAACACUUCUUGGAGGGACAAGCGGUGUUCAGCCGCACGAGAUUGAGCAAUAACA
RNAcentral lists this ribosomal RNA (135 nucleotides) under uncultured eukaryote. RNAcentral describes it as "partial 18S ribosomal RNA". It matches the Rfam family "Eukaryotic small subunit ribosomal RNA", at positions 1299 to 1458 of the family's 1831-position model. The record is from RNAcentral.